Molecule: ribosomal RNA, 295 nt
Filed under: uncultured bacterium
Lineage: Bacteria
Description: partial 16S ribosomal RNA
Rfam family: Bacterial small subunit ribosomal RNA
Source: RNAcentral
UUCCUACGGGGGGCAGCAGUGAGGAAUAUUGGUCAAUGGGCGCGAGCCUGAAUCAGCCAAGUCGCGUGAAGGAUGACUGCCCUACGGGUUGUAAACUUCUUUUAUAAAGGAAUAAAGUGAGGCACGUGUGCCUUUUUGUAUGUACUUUAUGAGUAAGGAUCGGCUAACUCCGUGCCAGCAGCCGCGGUAAUACGGAGGAUCCUGGCGUUAUCCGGAUUUAUUGGGUUUAAAGGGAGCGUAGAUGGGUUGUUGAGUCAGUUGUGAAAGUUUGCGGCUCAACCGGAAAAUUGAGAUU